GCCGUUGUAGCUCAGCUGGUAGAGCGCGUCCAUGGUAAGGACGAGGUCACCGGUUCAAUCCCGGUCAACGGCUCCA
RNAcentral lists this transfer RNA (76 nucleotides) under Candidatus Uhrbacteria bacterium RIFCSPHIGHO2_12_FULL_60_25. RNAcentral's name for it is "tRNA-Thr". It matches the Rfam family "tRNA". From Rfam's summary of the family: Transfer RNA (tRNA) molecules are approximately 80 nucleotides in length. The record is from RNAcentral. Lineage: Bacteria; Candidatus Uhriibacteriota. RNAcentral also lists the same sequence under 2 other names.